GUGAUCAAUAUGGAAGUCAAAGAGCAGUUGAAGAAGGAAAUUCGAGAGUUUGGAGGACAACAUGAAAAAAUACUCAAAUUGCUUGAAGGAGUGCAGGGACCUCCAGAACUGCAGAGAAAGUUCGUGGUAUAUGCCAUGAAGCAAGCAGUGAG
RNA transcript from Canis lupus familiaris (dog), 152 nucleotides. It is a transcript of the gene named integrator complex subunit 6-like, with no coding region annotated. The record is from RefSeq and is a predicted model, not a curated record. Lineage: Eukaryota; Metazoa; Chordata; Mammalia; Carnivora; Canidae. The transcript is spliced from 2 exons.